Molecule: long non-coding RNA, 7342 nt
Organism: Meriones unguiculatus (Mongolian gerbil)
Lineage: Eukaryota; Metazoa; Chordata; Mammalia; Rodentia; Muridae
Exons: 2
Source: RefSeq, a predicted model, not a curated record
GGGCCGGCGGCCUCACCUCCCACCGGCAGCACCACCCCGCCGCUCCACUCGGAGGCUGCAGGUUUCGGCUAGGGUUUCUGCUCCGUUUUCCAGCCGGAAGACUGCCAAGGCCAGGGUGGAGGCUAGAGAUGGUCCUGACUGCAAGGACCGUGAAGCUCAGCUAGCGCGAGAAUCCCCGGAACUAUGAAGAACAGCGAAAUGCAUCCCCUCCAGCCUUCCCAAGCCGCAACAGCGCUUGCGCCUCUCCGCCUCUCUCUUCUAGUUUCUAUUUUUGCUGCAGAUCUCCUUUAAAAACUUUUUUUUUUUUUUCCCUGCUGGGUGUGGUGGCUCACACCUGUAAUCUCUGCACUCAGGAAAGUGGAGACAGGAGGAUCAGGCGUUCAAGGAGAAGCUUGCCAUGCAUGCUUUAGGGCCUAAGCGCAAAUCCCCAGACCCCGGGAAAACCAAGAUGGAAGGUGGAAACGGGACUGCAGCAGUUUGCAAGCCAUCCAGACUGGCUUAUGAAGCAGCUUACAAGAUGCCUGCCUCAAACAGCCGGAAGGCGAGGACUGACCUCACCCCUAGGUAUGCUCACCCAGAGGCACGCAUCAUUCGCGCAGAAAUCAUAGACAUAUUUCAAAACUGGGCGUUAAUGGCAUGGUGGGCUUUAAAGUCGGUGGUGGUGCUCGCCUUUAAUCCCAGCACUCUGGAGGCAGGGGCAGGCAGAGCUCUAUGAGGCCAGCCCGGUCUCCAGAGUGAGUUCCAGGACAGCCAGAGCUACAUAGUGAGACCCUGUCUCAAAAUAAAUCCAAUCAAUUGUUGGAGUCCAAAAAUCCAAAACAAUGCAAGCAAGCAAGCGCCCAGCAAAUCAAGAUCUUCAUUGAACCAGGCAGCACAAACUGACCAGGGAAGGACCAGAGCAGAUUCAGGAGCUCGCUGCAUAUUCCAACAUUCGUAAGACGAUGACAAAAACGCACUGGACUCGGGCAACUACUGAUGGAGCAGGGCCGCAGAACAGACUCAGAAGUGGAACCUAAACCCUGAGUCAGGAUGCUACAAAGAAUUUUAAGCCGGAAAUCCACAAGCAUCUGUGCCAAAUUAUAGUUAAGUUUUCCCAGCAAUAAGGAUUUACAGAUAGGAGACUUCCUUAAGAACAAAUCUUUCAAGCUGGACGUGGUGGCACACACCUAUGAUCCCAGCACUCAGGGAGGCUGAGGCAGGAGAGUGUUGUGAGUUCAAGGCCAGCCCGGUCUAUAAAGGGAGUCCAGGACAGCCAAGAUUACACAGAGAAACCCUGUCUUGGAAAAGCAUUAAAAAAGAGAGCCUGUCUUUGUGAUCCACUGACCCUGGUCCCAUUGGUUGGUUACUGAACUGUGGUGGGGCCACUUGCCUGGCAUUGGGGCCAUUUGCCGGGCAUUUGUGACUCGGCCUGCCAACCAGGAAGCUAGUUCACAGGCCCGUCUCUUUCUGGCAAGUGGGAUGUCAGUCACCAGGGAGGUGGGUUGGGGUGUUAGACUUUAGUUGACCCCUCUUCAGAAUGGAAGUUUUAUUCAAAAUGGCUUCAGUUUGGCUCCUUCUUACACAACCAACCAACAACAAGAAAAAAGGAAAGAAAGAAAAGGAAAAAAGUGAAAACAACCGGACUUUAAGUGGGGCAUGGCUACUCAUACCUUAACCACAGCAGAGGUAGGAGGAUUGCUCCAUGUUCAAGGCCAGCCUUGGUUACAGGAGACCUCACUAAAGUAUGGAGGUUUGAUUUGGACCACUGAAGUGGGAGACAGCACUUACUAGGUAGGCGGACAUCUGGCAAGGUUGCCUCUCUGUGGACGCAGAUGGCUGGGCACCCCUCUUGCUGAGGGCGGACGGUGGCCCUACCCAGACGGAACUCGAGAUUUCCCCAAAGGCAGCAAGUGUUGAGCUACUGAAUCGUAUCCUGGUCUCCGGCAGCAGGCUUGAGAACUUGAACUUAAUUUCACCUUAUGAUCAAAACGGAGACUUGGGGGCAAAAUGGCGUCUGAUACGCUAAGGGCGAAAGCAGGUGCUAACAGAGGAGCCACAGCUAUGCCGAGAACUGAAGUAGGUCUCCACAGAGGGGCCAGAGAGUUGAAGCAGGUUUCGACAAGUGGUAGAGAAUGCGCUCAGCACCCCGCGACCAAUCCUGAGCACAAAGCCCCACAAGUGUGUAAAACGCUGGAACAUUCAGGGCUCUCGGAAGCCAGACCAGUGAAAGCAGCGUGAAGGGCAGGAGUCACCUGUAUGACCCAGGAGGCUAAGCCACAGAGAAAGGAAACAAAACUGCAGUUUGUACAACGUGGGAGGGGCAGAUUGUGAGGGGGGUCUUUGUAGGGCGAGGGCAUUGGGUAAUCCUACAGGUGUGAGGAGAAAACCCCCUGGCCCAAGUCAUAGUGGCCAGAUUAGUUAAAGCAAGCAGUUCACUGAGGCAGCCUUUUACAAAGAUUCAUGGACAGGGCUGCCUCCCCCGAUGGCAGGGUUUGAAAAGUCAACAUCCGACAUGAGGAGUGUUGGGAUCAGUAAGCAGGCACCUCUACGGCCAGCCCCAAGGGACCUGACAAACCGGUUAUCAGGCAUUUGUGAAGACACCUGUCUGGAGCCGUGACUCAGCGGCCUGCUUUGAUAUUUAAAUCUCGGCAGAGAGAUGGCUUUUAGGAGGCCUUUACUAAUGGCAGAGGAGAACUUGCAAGUCCAUCUCCUUUUGUUUGUGAUAACAGGUGGGAUAGCUUGUGAGGGUCACACCUCUUCCUCAGGCUCCUUGUGCAAAUUAACCUAUUGUUCUGAGAUGUUUUGCUGGCAAAAAGUAACUACUCAAAAAAUAAAGUGGUCAGAAGGCUGGAGGCAGAGGAGGAGGCAGAGUCUUGAGACUGGCUGCUGGCACUGCUUGCUGCAGCAGUCUGCCUUUUGCUGUGGCUGUCGAGUCUGGACCUUUAAAAAGUUUCCUGUGUGCUGUGUGUUUAUUUUAUUAAUUUUAAUCCUCACUCCCAACUCAAGAACCGUGCGACUCUGCCCGGCUGGCUCCGGCAGAUUGGCGCCCGGACGUGGGACUUGAGAUACAGGGAUUCAGUGAAGGACACCGCUGUGUUUGGUUCGCGAGCUCGCAUUAAGUAGAAGGGGUGCAGUGAGUAAAUCCCAGAAUAAAAAUGGGACAAGGUAUUAGCCUAGUGUUUUCUUUGUGGAACUUAAUUAAAGGUAGUCUGUACAAGCAGCAGGAAACUGAGAAAGCUAAACUUUCAGGCUCAGAGAGAAGGAGGUUAGAAAGAUGACAGGCUUCAAGAGAAAAUUAUAUUAUACCAUCAGCUCCUACAGAGGAGUUGUAUUGCCCUUCUGAUGACAAUAAUUUCUUGCCAGAAGGAGACUUUGAGGAAGACUUGCAACCUAAUGAGGUUGCAGAGUUGGAGGAAGAACAAGAUCAGUACUAUUCUGAGAGAUACCCUCCAAUUCAGGCUAUGCAUGUUAAAAAGCAUAAGCCUUGGCAAAAAGAAAUUAUAAAAGACUGGAGUAUGGUUUGGAGGAAAUAAACAGAAAAAUUAGAGAAUUAAUUACUAAGGAAAAUGAGACUCAAUCUCAUACUCCAAUCCCAUCAUUGGAUGAAGGCUUAGGCCCUCCUCCUGGGAAUGCUACAGUUUCAAUGGCCCAGAAGGCAAGGGGACCUUUCCUUUUGUCCACUGUAGGAACAUCUGUAUCUGCUUUACAGGCUUCUUUACAAGAAGCCAGGCAGAAUGGAGAAGACGUAUCUGAGUUUUAUAGUUUUCCAGUUCUGGAGCAACCCGAUGGACAUGGUAAUAUGGUGAGAGUCCAUGCUCCUAUACCUUUUAAACAGAUAAGAGAACUAAAAUCUGCAUGCUCCCAAUAUGGACCUACAGCACCUUUCACCCUGUCUCUGCUGGAAUCCAUGUCUACUGAGGCUCUUUGCCCAGGGGACUGGAAACAGUUAGCAAUUAUAAAUUAUCAGGAGGAGAUAAUUUAUUAUGGAAGUCAGAUUUUGCAGAGCAUUGUCAAGCUACAGCUAAACUUAAUCAAGCUCAGCAAAUUCCUAUAACUUAUUACAUGCUUGCUGGAGAAGGAAUCUACAGGGAAAUAGGACAGCAAUUGGAUUUUGAUGUGGCUGUUUAUGCUCAGGUCAAUACUGCUGCCCGGAGGGCCUGGAAUAAGCUUCCACAAGCAGGUAGACAGGUGGAGGAUUUGUCUAAAAUCUGUCAGGGACCUGAUGAGUUAUUUCAAGAUUUUGUGGCAAGAUUAAUGCAAGCAGCAAACAGACUUAUAAGUGAUGAAAAGUCUGGAUUGUUAUUAGUGAAACAAUUGGCUUAUGAGAAUGCUAACAGUGCUUGCCAAGCAGACUUGAGACCUGUUAGAAAGAAAGGAGAAAAUGGGGGAAAAGGCCAAGGAUUGGGGUACUACAUUACAGACAAUAGUACUCAUCCAAAUAAUUAGGUUAAUAACAGCUAAAAUUCAAAGCUCUCUGGCUGAAAGGUAUUUGUCAGCUCUUUCUGGUAAGGGUCCGCCAAUUUAUUGAAACAUCAACUAAAAUAACCAACUGGGCUUUGUUUGUUACAGUGUAAAUUGGCUAAGACCCUAUUUAAAAUUAACAACAGGAGAACUAAAACCACUUUUUGACAUUUUCAAAGGAGAGGCUAAUCCUUUGUCAAAAAGGGAACUUACCAAAGAAGCUCGUGAUGCUUUGCAAAAGAUAGAAUUAGCUAUUGAAAAGCAGCAUGUUCAAUAUAUUGAUUAUUCAAAAGAAUGGGGUGAAUAUAUUUUGGCUACUGUUCAUACUCCAACUGCUGUAAUGUGGCAAGAAGGACUAUUAUUAUGGUUGCACCUGCCUGUGUCUUCUGUUCAAGUUCUGACACCAUAUUAUGAAGCAGUGGCUAGUUUAGUUAAAAUGGCUCGCACAAAAUCUCGUAAAUAUUUUGGUAGAGAGCCCUCCUUAAUUGGAGUCCCUUUUACCAAACAGCAAGUAGAUUGGUGAUUUCAAAAUGUAGAUUGUUGGGCGAUAGCUUUUGCUCAUUAUUUAAGACGUAUUGAUAAUCAUUAUCCAAAAGAUAAAUUACUUCAAUUUGCCAGUGAGCACACUUUUGUAUUUCCUAAAAUAAUUAAACAAAAGCCAUUACCUCAACAAUAUUCACUGAUGGAUCUUCAAAUGGAAAAGCUGCUUAUGUACUAGAGGGACAAACUUUUGUUUUGCAAACAUUGCCAACCUCAGCUCAAGUUGUAGAAUUACGAGCUGUUGCUGCAGUCUUUAAAAAUUUGGCUUCUACCUCUUUCAACUUGUAUACUGAUAGCCAUUAUAUAGCUAAAGCUUUACAAGUCCUAGAGACUGUAACAUAUGUUAAUACAGCUAAUAAACAAAUACAAGAUCUAUUUAGAGAGAUUCAACAAAGUAUUUGGAGCCAUGUGCAGCCUUGUUACAUAGGGCAUAUUAGAGCUCAUUCAGGGCUUCCUGGACCUUUAACUUUAGGAAAUGAUUUAGCAGAUCUAGCCACACGUUUGGUUGGAUUAACUCAACAAGAAUUGGCUCAAAAUUCUCAUACAUUACAUCAUCAAAAUAGCAAGAGCUUAAAAAAAACAACAAAAAACAAUUUAAUAUUACCAGAGAAGCCACUAGACAAAUUUGUAAGAUCAUGUUCCCCUUGCCCUGAACAUUUUAAUGUACCUCAUUAUGCUGUCAAUCCUAGAGGUUUGACUCCCAAUCAUUUGUGGCAAAUGGAUGUAACUCAUGUCUCAGAAUUUGGGAAACUAAAAUAUGUUCAUGUAACAAUUGACACUUUUUCAGGAUUUAUCAUGGCAACUCCCUUAACAGGGAAAGCCAUCAAACAUGUUAUAAGUCAUUGCUUAAAGUGUUUUGCUGCAAUUGGUAUAACUUCCAUUAACAUAAGUCAUAAAACGGGGAUUCCAUGUAAUUUCCAGGGCCAAAAUAUUAUAAAACGAGCCCAUGGAUCUCUUAAGAACCAAUUGCAAAAAAUAAAAAAGGGGGGGAGUCAUAUCUCCAAAUAUUAAUCAUGCUCUCUUUAAAUUUUUUGAAUGUGGAUACACAAAGCUGUUCUGCGGCUGAUCGAUUGUGGCAUCCUAAUACCAAAGAUAAUUUUGCCCAAGUAAAAUGGAAAGAUCCAAUUACUGGAUUAUGGCAGGGCCCCGACCCUGUAUUAAUAUGGGGAAGAGGGCAUGUUUGUGUUUUUCCACAGGACGCAGAGGGAGCCAGGUGGAUCCCAGAGAGGCUGGUAAGGUUUGCAGUUGUUCCCCAGAAAGAAGUUGUUCCCGCGGCAGACAACCAUAAACUCUGCCCUGACCUAGACUGAAAAGCUGCAUUAUACCUGAGCUCCUGACCCCGCUCUUGCUUCAUUCUGCUCCUGGGAGAAGACGUCAUACAGAGAAACCUCUUAUAUAAUAAACUGGACUUGACUGUUUUGUUAAUAAGGACAAACCUCAACAAAAUCAAAAGAGAACUAACUGUGAAACUUUAAUCUGGCUCUGGUUUUCAGCAGAGCAAAACAGACUUGCUUCAGGAACUCUUGGGGGGGCCUGUAACUGCCUAUGUAAAUUCUCCUUUUGUUUUGCUGCUUUGAGAUGGUAAGCUUUCAAAUGGUUCUGUUUGCUCGACAGCCUUUUACUAUGGUUCCUCUAAAUGUUUCUCAGACUUGGUAAUUUACACAGGGAGUCACCUGCUAGUCACUUUUGGAGUGUUACUUUGGACUUGGCUUGUGUUAGGAGACAUGCUCCUAUCAGUGAUAACUAAAAUCUGCCUGAAGGCCUUUUGGUGUGUCAAAGCUGAGCUGAUCUGCACAAGAUCAUAUCACAGUGUCCACCCUAGCAGAGGUUGGUAGUCAAAGACGGGUAAGUUUUCUCUGGGGUGUAUGAAAAUUCAUGUACAAAUAUUGACCCAAAAAUGGGGAUAUGAAUAAAAAAUAUAUACCUUUCGAGAGAAACAACCUAAGACAGGCACAAUCUUCUGCUCCAUAACUAUUAAGUUAUGGCCAAUUUUAAAAAUAUAAAAAAGGGGGACAUGUUGGGAGCCGUGACUCAGCGGCUUGCUUUGAUAUUUAAAUCUCGGCAGAGAGAUGGCUUUUAGCAGGCCUUUACUAAUGGCAGAGGAGAACUUGCAAGUCCAUCUCCUUUUGUUUGUGAUAAUAGGUGGGAUAGCUUGUGAGGGUCACACCUCUUCCUCAGGCUCCUUGUGCAAAUUAACCUAUUGUUCUGAGAUGCUUUACUGGCAAAAAGUACUCAAAUAAUAAAGUGGUCAGAAGGCUGGAGGCAGAGGAGGCAGGCAGAGUCUUGAGACUGGCUGCUGGCACUGCUUGCUGCAGCAGUCUGCCUUUUGCUGUGGCUGUCGAGUCUGGACCUUUAAAAAGUU